AAACCCUUUGACUUUGGGGUAUAAUAAAUGCUCUUGUCUUUUUAAUACAUGCUAGUAAAAUGCGUACAGGUGAGUAAAUCCGUUUUAUAGAGCGGUAUGUUACCAGGCCUAUUCUUAUUUGAUUAAUAAGAAUUCCCGUGACAACAAGAUUUAUCCACACUUUCACUGAAACAACGGAAAUCAGUAAGCAGCAGUAUAGAAUAUUGUAUAAUUGAUUAUUAUCAGAUACAGAAAGACAAUAAGAGUUGUCGAAUCAGGUGCCAGCAGACGCGGUUAUACCUGAGACUCAAGUUUUACAAAACAAAAAGGCCUAAAGGGUGUCUAAGCAAUAAUUAUUAAAAAACAUGUAAUUUUGGUAUAGAAAUUAAAUUCAAUAAAACAAACUAGAAUAUCAUUUCCUAAUAAAAUGUUUUACUAAGCAGAAACACUAAAUAAUAGAAAGCCAAUGGGAUUAGAUACCCCAGUAACCUAUUACCUAAAUAUAGAUUUGUUUUCAAAACAAUACUCCGCCUGAGUAGUAUAGUCAAUUGACCGAAAUUCAAAAAGUCUGGCUGUUUGUCUUCCAAUCAGAGGAUUGUGUCGUUUAAUAUGAUAGUCCGCAGAAUACCUUACCUUUCUUAGAUUUCCAGGUGCUGCAUGGUCGUCUUCAGUUUAUAUGUAAUAUACAAAUAAUCUUAACCUUCAAAAGCUGAAGUCAGGUAGUAUGGCCCUAAUAGAAAGGGAUUUAUGCAAUACAAUUUUCUUAGAAAAAAUCAAGUAAACGGAAGGAAUUUGCAAAUUUCCAGAAGUUGAAUUUGACAGUAAUCAAAGACAAUAAAGCUUUGAUGAAUAGGUUCAGACAUUAGUACAAAUUGCCCGUCACCUUUAACAACUUACUAAUUUUAAUAAUUUAGAAGUUAAAGCAAGUCGUAACAUAGUGAGGGAAAGGGAACUUUUCCUUGAAACAAACUUGUUCUUACU
This 960-nucleotide ribosomal RNA is filed under the name Aurelia aurita (moon jelly). RNAcentral's name for it is "small subunit ribosomal RNA". It matches the Rfam family "Bacterial small subunit ribosomal RNA". Lineage: Eukaryota; Metazoa; Cnidaria; Scyphozoa; Semaeostomeae; Ulmaridae. The record is from RNAcentral.